UGAGUGAUCAGCCUAUAAUGCACCAUCAGGAGCAUAGUCGCGUGCGCUGAUUGAUGGUUAGUGAUUGAUGGCGUGACGGUAGUUUCACAGCGCGAGGAGCUCCUUUUCCUUCAGCCGCUCGUGCCGGAGGAGCGUGCGUGCGCUGGGGUGGAGGUGGAGUUUCACACACACUCUCGGAGCUUCUCUCUCAAGCGCGCGCGCGCGCGCACCCCCCUCACACCAACGCGCGAGGAUGCAGCCUCGAGUCAGCGCUGCGCGGUAGCGGCUCCCAGCUGGACGCGAACUAACGAUCAAAACACUAACUGACGAUAAUAAUAAUAAUAAUCGUGACGUAAGCCGUUUGACUGCCAACUUUUUCCGUCUCUUUUUCGCGUGGCUUUCUUUUUUUUUUCUGGAUCUCCUGCCAGAUGGUCGCCAUGGUCCGCGGUGCGUGCGGGACUGGACCGAGCAGCGAGGGGUCAGCAGCAGCAGCAGCUCGGCGGUGGCAGCGCGCGGAAAGAGGCGAGCUGCACACGUAAAAGCGAAGAGAGAGAGGGAGAAAAAAACAUCAGUGAAACCCUGAGAGACCGUUACCAAAGCAGUGACCAGCAGUGAGUGACCGGGCCAGCCAGGGACCUAACAUCUUGGAGAAUGGGUGCUAUGGUUUGUGCUACGAGAUUAGCAUGCCUCCUCCCUCUCCUUGUCUCCACUCUUCUGUUGCUCUGCUCUGGGGAGAAAACAUGUCCCUACAACUGCCGCUGUGAGGGUAAAAUCGUCCAUUGCGAUUCAGCGUCUUUCAUGGAUGUGCCAGAGAACAUUUCAGUAACUUGCCAAGGUUUGUCCCUGCGCAACAAUGACCUGCACACAAUGCUCCCAUACCAGUUUGCCCACCUUAACCAGCUCCUCUGGCUGUAUCUGGAUCACAAUCAGAUCUCAUUUGUAGACAGUCGUGCUUUCCAGGGCAUACGACGGCUUAAGGAGUUGAUCCUGAGCACCAACAGGAUUUCACAACUCCAUAAUUCCACCUUUCAUGGAGUGCCUAAUCUCCGCAGCCUGGACCUCUCCUACAACAAACUUCAGGAACUGCAACCGGGUCAGUUCCAUGGUCUUCGCAAACUCCAGAAUCUGCACCUACGCUCCAACGGGCUCACAACAAUUCCUGUCCGGGCAUUUAUUGAGUGCAGAAGCUUGGAGUUUCUUGACCUAGGGUAUAACCGACUACGUGUCCUCACACGCACUGCAUUUCUGGGUUUGUCUAGGCUGAUGGAGCUGCAUCUGGAACACAAUCAGUUCUCUCGGAUCAACUUCUUUCUCUUUCCACGCCUCGCAAACCUGCGUGGUCUGUAUCUCCAGUGGAAUCGUAUUCGGGCAGUGAACCAAGGCCUCCCAUGGAUUUGGUAUACCCUGCAGAAGCUUGACCUGUCUGGCAAUGAGAUCCAGACUCUGGAUCCUGUUGUAUUUCAAUGCCUACCAAACCUACAGGUUCUUAACUUGGAGUCUAACAAGUUAGCCAAUGUAUCUCAUGAGACUGUAGCAGCCUGGAUUUCCCUGACUACAAUCAGCCUUGCAGGAAACAUGUGGGACUGUGGGCCAGGCAUUUGCCCUCUUGUUGCCUGGCUAAGGAAUUUCCGAGGAACUAAAGAUACAAGCAUCAUUUGCAGCAGCCCCAAAAAUCUUCAAGGGGAAAAGGUUAUGGAGGCAACAAGAAAUUACAUAGACUGUGAAGAUUUCGAAAUCAUUCCACAAACACCAUUUCCUCACCACACUCUGGAACCAACUAUGGAAACUACUUCUGCACCACCCUUACCUCCCACUACUCCCCCACCACCCCUGCCUCCACCUGCCUCUGAGGCACCCAUCCCACCACCCCUAGCUCAACCCCUUCCUCAUCCUACUAUCUACAACCUUGCUGAGACUCAUCCUAGAAACAGCCCUCCACAGACACCUCCACCUUCCAACAGCCUGCUCGUCACUCCAUCCCCAGAACAAGAGAACUUGGCAUUCCAUAAAGUUGUGGUGGGGGCUGUGGUGCUUUUCUUCUCAACAUCACUCGUCUUGACAGUGAUCUAUGUGUCCUGCAGACGGUACCCUGGUGCCACCAGGUUGUUGCAACAGCGUUCAGUCAUGGGACGAAAGCGCCGGAAAAAGAGUCCCGAGCCAGAGCAGAACCUGAGCUCCCAACUGCAGGAAUAUUACAUGAGCUACAAUCCUGCCGCCACACCAGAAGCCAUGGAUGUGCUGGCCAAUGGGACUGGUACUUGCACCUGUACCAUUUCCGGCUCCAGGGAAUGCGAGGUAUGACAAUGUCAAAGGCAGCCUAAAAUCAAAUCAAAUCAAAACAAAUGAAACGGCUCUGGAUUACAGAGAAUGAAUACACGUGUCCCAGGCCACUCCCUGGAGCCUGGAUCGGCGACAUCCCCACCAUUCACUAGGAAUGUUUUCUCCACCAAUGAGAUUUCAAUAGGCAACAGGGUUCCAGCCUACAGCCUCUGCAUCCAUCACUCUACGGCCUACGCUGCCAUUUUUUUUCUUUUCCCUGUCAUUUAUGGAACGUUAUCCACCAUGGACAUGUGAAGGGACAUCUAAAAAGACAGCAGGAACGCCUCCAUCACGCAUUUUACUAACACGCACGUCACACUUCUUCAAGACGCCUCACUUUAUCCACUCUCUUUUUUGCCUAGACAGCUCUUUCUCUAGAUCUAAGCCUGACUAGGCCUUUGGUCGAGUUGAACAUACAGGAACAGGAUGAACUAUUCUAUUCUACGAACAAAGCCACUGUAACAGCAAUGAGAGUGCAUGGGAAGAUAUCUCCUGGACUUUAAGGAAUAUCCUCAGCAUCAGAGCGUAUGGAUUUUCCAUAUGACAAAACAUCAUCCAUCAGACAACCAUUGACUGCCAGUCAACUGAUACAUUAAGCCUAUUGCUGGACUUAACUUAUUUGGUCACACUUUAUGUGAGGGCUACCUACAUAUGGACCUUAUAACACACUGAUAAGCAUUGAAUAACAUGUUUAUAAAGUAAUGUUUGAGUAUUUAUAAACAGCUGAUAUGAGUAAUCACAGAAUGUGUAGGCACUGUGUUGACAUAAGAGGUCUUAAACCAAUAUAAUGGAUGUUUUUUUUUCAUUUGUAUCAUUCCCACAUAAUGGAUCUUAAAUGCCAAGACCACUGUUUAUGAGUUUUAAAUAUUUCUUCUUGAAGUCCAAUUGUACAAUUUCUAUAAAGGAAAACCAGUAUGGCUGCAGAUACUAACUCCUUAAAGUAGAAUUUUUCAUUCAAAUAAAAUAGCAUAAUAAAUCAAAGUGCUUUUACUCAUAGUAAACUGCAUUUAAGCAAGCAAGCAAAGUUUAUUUAUAUAAAGCUUUUUACAACAGAUGUUGUCACAAAGCAGCUUUACAGAGCAAUCAGUAUUAUAGAAAGAAAAGAAAAGAAAAUCCGGGACCAAGCCCCCAUGAG
Molecule: RNA transcript, 3433 nt
Organism: Pygocentrus nattereri (red-bellied piranha)
Lineage: Eukaryota; Metazoa; Chordata; Actinopteri; Characiformes; Serrasalmidae
Gene: lrrtm4l1
Gene name: leucine rich repeat transmembrane neuronal 4 like 1
Exons: 3
Source: RefSeq, a predicted model, not a curated record